CCCCAAGCAUGCAUUACACCACCUGGGAAUGCAUGGGCAAAGGUGUCAUCCUAGAUUAACAAGCACUGCUGCUAGCUUAGGAGCUGGUCCAGACAUGAGACGCAAGGUCCCUUUUGUUUGAGUGUGGAGGUUAUGGUGGAUCAAGGCAAUGACAGUGACCAAGAGGCAACGGUAUAAGAAGGAGCCUCACGAAUGUCUAGGAGAGAAGACACAGCAAGGGGGAGAAGCGAUUCUAACUCUGUGACUAUGAGU
Molecule: long non-coding RNA, 252 nt
Filed under: Chinchilla lanigera (long-tailed chinchilla)
Lineage: Eukaryota; Metazoa; Chordata; Mammalia; Rodentia; Chinchillidae
Description: lncRNA (ENSCLAG00000022952.1)
Source: RNAcentral